GAUGAAGAACGCAGCGAAAUGCGAUAAGUAAUGUGAAUUGCAGAAUUCAGUGAAUCAUCGAAUCUUUGAACGCACAUUGCGCCUGCCAGUAUUCUGGCGGGCAUGCCUGUUCGAGCGUCAUUACAACCCUCAGGCCCCCGGGCCUGGCGUUGGGGAUCGGCGGAAGCCCCCUGUGGGCACACGCCGUCCCUCAAAUACAGUGGCGGUCCCGCCGCAGCUUCCAUUGCGUAGUAGCUAACACCUCGCAACUGGAGAGCGGCGCGGCCAUGCCGUAAAACACCCAACUUCUGAAUGUUGACCUCGUAUCAGGUAGGAAUACCCGCUGAACUUAAGCAUAUCAAUAAGCGGAGGA
Molecule: unclassified non-coding RNA, 352 nt
Filed under: soil metagenome
Description: partial contains 5.8S ribosomal RNA, internal transcribed spacer 2, and large subunit ribosomal RNA
Rfam family: 5.8S ribosomal RNA (bases 1-120)
Source: RNAcentral